RNAcentral lists this ribosomal RNA (499 nucleotides) under uncultured bacterium. RNAcentral's name for it is "bacterial SSU rRNA". It matches the Rfam family "Bacterial small subunit ribosomal RNA", at positions 28 to 524 of the family's 1533-position model. The record is from RNAcentral.
GAUGAACGCUAGCGGCAGGCUUAAUACAUGCAAGUCGAGGGGCAGCACGGUUAGCAAUAACUGGUGGCGACCGGCGCACGGGUGCGUAACACGUAUACAAUCUACCUUAAACAGGGGGAUAGCCUUUCGAAAGAGAGAUUAAUACCCCGUAAUAAAUUGAACGGCAUCGUUUGAUUUUGAAAGCUCCGGCGGUUUGAGAUGAGUAUGCGUCUGAUUAGCUAGUUGGUGAGGUAACGGCUCACCAAGGCGACGAUCAGUAGGGGAUCUGAGAGGACUAACCCCCACACUGGUACUGAGACACGGACCAGACUCCUACGGGAGGCAGCAGUAAGGAAUAUUGGUCAAUGGAGGCAACUCUGAACCAGCCAUGCCGCGUGCAGGAUGACGGCCCUAUGGGUUGUAAACUGCUUUUAUACAAGAGAAAACCCUGGUACGUGUACCAGUUGAUAGUAUUGUAAGAAUAAGCAUCGGCUAACUUCGUGCCAGCAGCCGCGGUAAU